Molecule: unclassified non-coding RNA, 366 nt
Filed under: uncultured fungus
Lineage: Eukaryota; Fungi
Description: sequence contains ITS1
Rfam family: 5.8S ribosomal RNA (bases 1-106)
Source: RNAcentral
GAAAUGCGAUACGUAAUGCGAAUUGCAGAAUUCAGUGAAUCAUCGAAUUUUUGAACGCAAAUUGCGCUUUCGGGAUAGGCCUGAAAGCAUGUUUCUUUGAGCCUCGUGUCUAACCCACCUCGGCUGCGUGCCGGAAAAUGAAAGUCUUGCGGCAUGGACGCAAGUCUUUUUAAGCAAAUGGAAUCCAUGGCGUUUGAUCCGCCUGACAUCUUUUUCGUCAACGAGCGGCGCGAUUAAAAAGUUCUUACUUUUUUCUCGUCGUGAGUCGAUGAACUGAUGUCUUGCACAGUCAAUGCUAAUGGGUGAAAUCGGAAAACACUUUUUGACUUAGAGCUCAAAUGAAGCAAGAUAACCCGCUGAACUUAA